This 988-nucleotide ribosomal RNA is filed under the name Enterococcus durans. RNAcentral's name for it is "bacterial SSU rRNA". It matches the Rfam family "Bacterial small subunit ribosomal RNA", at positions 86 to 1060 of the family's 1533-position model. The record is from RNAcentral. Lineage: Bacteria; Bacillati; Bacillota; Bacilli; Lactobacillales; Enterococcaceae.
AAAAGAAGAGUGGCGAACGGGUGAGUAACACGUGGGUAACCUGCCCAUCAGAAGGGGAUAACACUUGGAAACAGGUGCUAAUACCGUAUANCAAUCGAAACCGCAUGGUUUUGAUUUGAAAGGCGCUUUCGGGUGUCGCUGAUGGAUGGACCCGCGGUGCAUUAGCUAGUUGGUGAGGUAACGGCUCACCAAGGCCACGAUGCAUAGCCGACCUGAGAGGGUGAUCGGCCACAUUGGGACUGAGACACGGCCCAAACUCCUACGGGAGGCAGCAGUAGGGAAUCUUCGGCAAUGGACGAAAGUCUGACCGAGCAACGCCGCGUGAGUGAAGAAGGUUUUCGGAUCGUAAAACUCUGUUGUUAGAGAAGAACAAGGAUGAGAGUAACUGUUCAUCCCUUGACGGUAUCUAACCAGAAAGCCACGGCUAACUACGUGCCAGCAGCCGCGGUAAUACGUAGGUGGCAAGCGUUGUCCGGAUUUAUUGGGCGUAAAGCGAGCGCAGGCGGUUUCUUAAGUCUGAUGUGAAAGCCCCCGGCUCAACCGGGGAGGGUCAUUGGAAACUGGGAGACUUGAGUGCAGAAGAGGAGAGUGGAAUUCCAUGUGUAGCGGUGAAAUGCGUAGAUAUAUGGAGGAACACCAGUGGCGAAGGCGGCUCUCUGGUCUGUAACUGACGCUGAGGCUCGAAAGCGUGGGGAGCAAACAGGAUUAGAUACCCUGGUAGUCCACGCCGUAAACGAUGAGUGCUAAGUGUUGGAGGGUUUCCGCCCUUCAGUGCUGCAGCUAACGCAUUAAGCACUCCGCCUGGGGAGUACGACCGCAAGGUUGAAACUCAAAGGAAUUGACGGGGGCCCGCACAAGCGGUGGAGCAUGUGGUUUAAUUCGAAGCAACGCGAAGAACCUUACCAGGUCUUGACAUCCUUUGACCACUCUAGAGAUAGAGCUUCCCCUUCGGGGGCAAAGUGACAGGUGGUGCAUGGUGUCGUCAGCU